UAUCUCUGUAGAGUCUGCAUAUCAAUAAGCGGAGGAAAAGAAACUAACUAGGAUUCCCUCAGUAACGGCGAGUGAAGCGGGAAGAGCUCAAAUUUGAAAUCUUCAAGGUUCUACCUUGACGAAUUGUAGUUUAAAGAAGUGUUUUCUGUUGGAGUUUUGGUAAAAGUUCUUUGGAAUAGGACAUCAUAGAGGGUGAGAAUCCCGUAUUUGACCAUUAUUUCCAACUUUGUGAUACACUUUCAAAGAGUCGGAUUGUUUGGGAAUGCAGUCCAAAAUGGGUGGUAAAUUUCAUCUAAAGCUAAAUACUGGCGAGAGACCGAUAGCGAACAAGUACCGUGAGGGAAAGAUGAAAAGAACUUUGAAAAGAGAGUUAAACAGUACGUGAAAUUGUCAAAAGGGAAGCGUUUGACACCAGUGUUGUUUUCUCGAAAAUCAAUUAAAAAAGGAUUGGGAUUUUGUGUUGUAUUGACUUUAUCAGCUUUCUAGCACUCUUUUCUUGUCUUUUUUAAUGCACUUUUCGUUUAACAAGUCAACAUCAAUUUCUUUCGUUGUAAAAGAGGUCAUUGGAAGGUGGCUUUCACUUCGGUGAAAGUGUUUAUAGCCUUUGGCUUCUGCAAUCGGAGAGAUUGAGGUCUGCAGCGUAGAUCCUUCGGGGUUAGAUACGUAGAUGCUAAGUUAUAGUUUUUUAUAGACAACUUGUUGACUAUAAUUAAUCAUGUAGCUUACUCGUUUGCGCUAUUUUACCUACGCUUAGGAUGUUGAUCUCUCACAGUCGAGC
Molecule: ribosomal RNA, 778 nt
Filed under: uncultured Neocallimastigales
Lineage: Eukaryota; Fungi; Neocallimastigomycota; Neocallimastigomycetes; Neocallimastigales
Description: partial large subunit ribosomal RNA
Rfam family: Eukaryotic large subunit ribosomal RNA
Source: RNAcentral